CAUUUGUCCAACGUUGGCUGGCUAUGUACAUUUGCAUGUACAUUAAUGCUUCAUUCCUGUCCCAAGCCGUUGAGUAACUCCUCGGCUGGGUGCACAACUAUUUUUCAUUCACAAGCACACAUGCUCUGCACCAAGUCGCACACAGCUACAGACAUGCAGUCGACACCAUCAGUGUAUCGCACGGCACACACUGUCUCACGGUCCAAAUGGAUUUAUAUCUAUAUGUUAGUUGUGGAAAUAGGCGCUACGCUAAAUUUAAGUUAGCAAAGGCUAUCGAUAUGACGAUACGGAGCUGGGGACCUUUUACACCAUCAAGCUUGAGUGACUGAUUUGCAAACUGCAGUUCUCUGCCUCUUCAAAUGAAGUUUACGUUUACAACCUUGGAAGUACAAGUUUACUCUUUGAAAUCCCUCAGUCACCAAAGGAAGUUCUUUUGUUUGGAAAAAACAUGCAUUGGAAUAUCAUCUCAUUCAUCUGCAUGGGAAGUAUCAUACAGAACAGAAUCUGGCAAUAUUGCUGCCCUGAUGUCUCGUCACAUGCAUGACGAAAACAUGCCCGCCGGACACUGUCAGCAGAAUUUCCUUCUGUCGUUGCUGUGGUUACUGGAUCGAUAAUCCGGAAGGCAAUCCCGAGGCACAGCAAAGUAGCUUUGCAGUGGAUUUACACAGCUAUGAUUACGGUGUCAGCACGGUCGGAUAAAUAUUGUGUCGGAAUCUGACUUGGAGUUCAUCGUCGAUAAAAACCAGACGCCAUAAGGAGAGAUGGAUCAUGGCAACAGUGGUGACCAAAAAAAGGGUUUACCAGGCAGCAACACGAACAAGCACUCUGGCACGACAUGGCAACAUAUUAGCAGAACUGUGAAACUUAUAUUGUCAUAUAUGUAUCAAGAAGCCAUACAACCAAGAAUGGAUAGAUGCCCAGGUAUGCGUAAUGGAAAUGCACUAUUCGGUCCUGGCAGAAAAUAAUUGUCUAAUCAUUCACUGAUGGAAUGCUCAGACUGUGAUGCAAUAAAAUCAGUCUAUCGUUAAAGUGUUUAAUCCUUUCAAACUGAUUUAAAAUUAUAUCAUUGAUCCGCAAAAUUGUGAGUAAUGUCCAAUGACAGACGAGGGUUAGUGUACAAUUUCACAAUCACCCUUUGAAUGCUUAUGCUUAGAGGCUGUUGUUCAGCUUGUAUCUUUGUGAAAAAAAUCAUCCCAUAUAGGAAAUGAGAGACACAAAAUUCAACAUUAAUGUAGAUAUCGACUGAUAUAGGUCAUCCGACAGCACAGAAUUAGAUAGUUGUAAGUGAAGGAAAAAUUCACGGUUAUAUCAUUCCUUUGUGAAAGCGUGCAGCUUGGUGAUAGUUUUCAUCGAUACAAAAAAAGAGCUUGAUAUCAGAUCCAGAGAGCGCGGUGUUGGGGCGUCGUGCGCAUUAUAAUAGAGCCACUCCAAGUGGUACAGAUCUGUCGUAAAAGCCCUUUCCUUCCUGCUGAGUCCACGGCUGUGUGUUGCCGCAGCAUUUUUACAGCAGGGAUGCAGAGCCACUGUACAAACCCACUGCCAAGAAUUUCAGUGCAUUGAAUAUCGGUACUCAAUCUUGCCAGUCUCAAAUCGAAUUGUC
Long non-coding RNA from Acanthaster planci (crown-of-thorns starfish), 1600 nucleotides. The record is from RefSeq and is a predicted model, not a curated record. NCBI's taxonomy places the organism in Eukaryota, Metazoa, Echinodermata, Asteroidea, Valvatida, Acanthasteridae.